UCCUUGCCGGAGUGUGUGGAGGAGGUUGUACGAUUCCGACAGUCUGGCUUCGAGGUCGUUCAUCGUGCGCUCCGAGCUCGUGAUCUGAAGCUCCAGCUCGGCGCUCCGGUCGUCGACCUUCCGUAUCUUCUCCAGGAUGUCGUCGAGCUCUCGCCUGUCCUGCUCAAUGGCCGCGCGCUCUCUCGCCACCAUCUCCUCCACCUCCUUCCGGUGCCUCGCCUCUCUCUGGUUCGAUCUCUCUGCUUCGUCGGCCUGCAUCCAUCAUAUACGUACACACAUAAACAAACACGGUCGCCAGCUACAUACAAUAUGGUCGUCAGCAUGAAUUUUGACAGGAAGGAA
RNAcentral lists this unclassified non-coding RNA (342 nucleotides) under Zea mays. RNAcentral describes it as "misc RNA Zm00001eb190980". Lineage: Eukaryota; Viridiplantae; Streptophyta; Magnoliopsida; Poales; Poaceae. The record is from RNAcentral.